Molecule: ribosomal RNA, 447 nt
Filed under: uncultured bacterium
Lineage: Bacteria
Description: bacterial SSU rRNA
Rfam family: Bacterial small subunit ribosomal RNA
Source: RNAcentral
UCGGGAAUUUUGGGCAAUGGGCGAAAGCCUGACCCAGCAACGCCGCGUGAAGGAUGAAGUAUUUCGGUAUGUAAACUUCGUAAGAAUAGGAAGAAUAAAUGACGGUACUAUUUGUAAGGUCCGGCUAACUACGUGCCAGCAGCCGCGGUAAUACGUAGGGACCAAGCGUUGUUCGGAUUUACUGGGCGUAAAGGGCGCGUAGGCGGCGUGGUAAGUCAUCUGUGAAAUCUCCGAGCUUAACUCGGAACGGUCAGAUGAUACUGCUGUGCUAGAGUACAGAAAGGGCAAUCGGAAUUCUUGGUGUAGCGGUGAAAUGCGUAGAUAUCAAGAGGAACACCUGAGGCGAAGGCGGGUUGCCAGGCUGAUACUGACGCUGAGGCGCGAAAGCUAGGGUAGCAAACGGGAUUAGAUACCCGUGUAGUCCCUGAGCGGGCUGGCAAGGCGCAU